This 253-nucleotide ribosomal RNA is filed under the name uncultured bacterium. Its description in RNAcentral is "partial 16S ribosomal RNA". It matches the Rfam family "Bacterial small subunit ribosomal RNA", at positions 524 to 776 of the family's 1533-position model. The record is from RNAcentral.
UACGGGGGGGGCAAGCGUUGUUCGGAAUUACUGGGCGUAAAGGGCCCGUAGGCGGCCAACUAAGUCGGAUGUGAAAUCCCCAGGCUCAACCUGGGAACUGCAUCCGAUACUGGAUGGCUUGAAUUCGGGAGAGGGAUGCAGAAUUCCAGGUGUAGCGGUGAAAUGCGUAGAUAUCUGGAGGAAUACCGGUGGCGAAGGCGGCAUCCUGGACCGACAUUGACGCUGAACGGCGAAAGCUAGGGGAGCAAACGGG